AGUAAGAACUUAUUUUCGGCGGCU
This 24-nucleotide microRNA is filed under the name Zea mays. RNAcentral describes it as "microRNA miR-3100". Lineage: Eukaryota; Viridiplantae; Streptophyta; Magnoliopsida; Poales; Poaceae. The record is from RNAcentral.